UGGGGAAUCUUGCUCAAUGGGCGCAAGCCUGAAGCGGCGACGCCGCGUGUGGGAAGAAGGUCUUCGGAUUGUAAACCACUUUCAGGAGGGAAGAAGCGAGAGUGACGGUACCUGCAGAAGAAGCACCGGCUAACUACGUGCCAGCAGCCGCGGUAAUACGUAGGGUGCAAGCGUUGUCCGGAAUUAUUGGGCGUAAAGAGCUCGUAGGCGGUCUGUCGCGUCUGCUGUGAAAGUUCGGGGCUCAACCCCGGAACUGCAGUGGGUACGGGCAGACUAGAGUGCGGUAGAGGAGACUGGAAUUCCUGGUGUAGCGGUGGAAUGCGCAGAUAUCAGGAGGAACACCAGUGGCGAAGGCGGGUCUCUGGGCCGCAACUGACGCUGAGGAGCGAAAGCGUGGGGAGCGAACAGGAUUAGAUACCCCCGUAGUCC
This 429-nucleotide ribosomal RNA is filed under the name uncultured prokaryote. RNAcentral describes it as "bacterial SSU rRNA". It matches the Rfam family "Bacterial small subunit ribosomal RNA", at positions 355 to 796 of the family's 1533-position model. The record is from RNAcentral.